GAUGAAGAACGUAGCGAACUGCGAUAAGUAAUGUGAAUUGCAGAAUUCAGUGAAUCAUCGAGUCUUUGAACGCACAUUGCGCCCCUCGGUAUUCCGAGGGGCAUGCCUGUUCGAGCGUCAUUAUAACCCUUCAAGCUCAGCUUGGUGUUGGGGCCUGCUGUAACUGGUAGCCCUUAAAAUCAGUGGCGGUGCUAUUAGGCUCUAAGCGUAGUAAUUCUUCUCGCUAUAGUGUGUAGUGAGCGCUUGCCAGAACCCCAAACUUUUAUAUGAUUGACCUCGGAUCAGGUAGGGAUACCCGCUGAACUUAAGCAUAUCAAUAAGCGGAGGA
This 328-nucleotide unclassified non-coding RNA is filed under the name soil metagenome. RNAcentral's name for it is "partial contains 5.8S ribosomal RNA, internal transcribed spacer 2, and large subunit ribosomal RNA". The stretch from base 1 to 120 matches the Rfam family "5.8S ribosomal RNA", at positions 35 to 154 of the family's 154-position model. The record is from RNAcentral.